Molecule: ribosomal RNA, 253 nt
Filed under: uncultured bacterium
Lineage: Bacteria
Description: partial 16S ribosomal RNA
Rfam family: Bacterial small subunit ribosomal RNA
Source: RNAcentral
UACGGGGGGAGCAAGCGUUGUUCGGAUUUACUGGGCGUAAAGGGCGCGUAGGCGGCGUAACAAGUCACUUGUGAAAUCUCCGGGCUUAACCCGGAGCGGCCAAGUGAUACUGUUGUGCUAGAGUGCGGAAGGGGCUACUGGAAUUCUCGGUGUAGCGGUGAAAUGCGUAGAUAUCGAGAGGAACACCUGCGGCGAAGGCGGGUAGCUGGGCCGACACUGACGCUGAGGCGCGAAAGCUAGGGGAGCAAACAGG